RNAcentral lists this ribosomal RNA (492 nucleotides) under Veillonella parvula. Its description in RNAcentral is "bacterial SSU rRNA". It matches the Rfam family "Bacterial small subunit ribosomal RNA", at positions 28 to 489 of the family's 1533-position model. The record is from RNAcentral. Lineage: Bacteria; Bacillati; Bacillota; Negativicutes; Veillonellales; Veillonellaceae.
GACGAACGCGGCGGCGUGCUUAACACAUGCAAGUCGAACGAAGAGCGAUGGAAGCUUGCUUCUAUCAAUCUUAGUGGCGAACGGGUGAGUAACGCGUAAUCAACCUGCCCUUCAGAGGGGGACAACAGUUGGAAACGACUGCUAAUACCGCAUACGAUCUAAACUCGGCAUCGAGGAUAGAUGAAAGGUGGCCUCUACAUGUAAGCUAUCACUGAAGGAGGGGAUUGCAUCUGAUUAGCUAGUUGGAGGGGUAACGGCCCACCAAGGCGAUGAUCAGUAGCCGGUCUGAGAGGAUGAACGGCCACAUUGGGACUGAGACACGGCCCAGACUCCUACGGGAGGCAGCAGUGGGGAAUCUUCCGCAAUGGACGAAAGUCUGACGGAGCAACGCCGCGUGAGUGAUGACGGCCUUCGGGUUGUAAAGCUCUGUUAAUCGGGACGAAAGGCCUUCUUGCGAAUAGUGAGAAGGAUUGACGGUACCCGGAAUAGAAA